ACCCGGAGAACUGAAACAUCUUAGUACCCGGAGGAAGAGAAAGAAAAUUCGAUUCCCUUAGUAGCGGCGAGCGAAACGGGAAGAGCCCAAACCAAAAAGCUUGCUUGUUGGGGUUGUAGGACACUCUAUACGGAGUUACAAAGGACGACAUUAGACGAAUCAUCUGGAAAGAUGAAUCAAAGAAGGUAAUAAUCCUGUAGUCGAAAAUGUUGUCUCUCUUGAGUGGAUCCUGAGUACGACGGAGCACGUGAAAUUCCGUCGGAAUCUGGGAGGACCAUCUCCUAAGGCUAAAUACUCUCUAGUGACCGAUAGUGAACCAGUACCGUGAGGGAAAGGUGAAAAGCACCCCGGAAGGGGAGUGAAAUAGAACCUGAAACCGUGUGCUUACAAGUAGUCAGAGCCCGUUAAUGGGUGAUGGCGUGCCUUUUGUAGAAUGAACCGGCGAGUUACGAUUUGAUGCAAGGUUAAGCAGUAAAUGUGGAGCCGUAGCGAAAGCGAGUCUGAAUAGGGCGUUUAGUAUUUGGUCGUAGACCCGAAACCAGGUGAUCUACCCUUGGUCAGGUUGAAGUUCAGGUAACACUGAAUGGAGGACCGAACCGACUUACGUUGAAAAGUGAGCGGAUGAACUGAGGGUAGCGGAGAAAUUCCAAUCGAACCUGGAGAUAGCUGGUUCUCUCCGAAAUAGCUUUAGGGCUAGCCUCAAGUGAUGAUUAUUGGAGGUAGAGCACUGUUUGGACGAGGGGCCCCUCUCGGGUUACCGAAUUCAGACAAACUCCGAAUGCCAAUUAAUUUAACUUGGGAGUCAGAACAUGGGUGAUAAGGUCCGUGUUCGAAAGGGAAACAGCCCAGACCACCAGCUAAGGUCCCAAAAUAUAUGUUAAGUGGAAAAGGAUGUGGCGUUGCCCAGACAACUAGGAUGUUGGCUUAGAAGCAGCCAUCAUUUAAAGAGUGCGUAAUAGCUCACUAGUCGAGUGACACUGCGCCGAAAAUGUACCGGGGCUAAACAUAUUACCGAAGCUGUGGAUUGUCCUUUGGACAAUGGUAGGAGAGCGUUCUAAGGGCGUUGAAGCAUGAUCGUAAGGACAUGUGGAGCGCUUAGAAGUGAGAAUGCCGGUGUGAGUAGCGAAAGACGGGUGAGAAUCCCGUCCACCGAUUGACUAAGGUUUCCAGAGGAAGGCUCGUCCGCUCUGGGUUAGUCGGGUCCUAAGCUGAGGCCGACAGGCGUAGGCGAUGGAUAACAGGUUGAUAUUCCUGUACCACCUAUAAUCGUUUUAAUCGAUGGGGGGACGCAGUAGGAUAGGCGAAGCGUGCGAUUGGAUUGCACGUCUAAGCAGUAAGGCUGAGUAUUAGGCAAAUCCGGUACUCGUUAAGGCUGAGCUGUGAUGGGGAGAAGACAUUGAGUCUUCGAGUCGUUGAUUUCACACUGCCGAGAAAAGCCUCUAGAUAGAAAAUAGGUGCCCGUACCGCAAACCGACACAGGUAGUCAAGAUGAGAAUUCUAAGGUGAGCGAGCGAACUCUCGUUAAGGAACUCGGCAAAAUGACCCCGUAACUUCGGGAGAAGGGGUGCUCUUUAGGGUUAACGCCCAGAAGAGCCGCAGUGAAUAGGCCCAAGCGACUGUUUAUCAAAAACACAGGUCUCUGCUAAACCGUAAGGUGAUGUAUAGGGGCUGACGCCUGCCCGGUGCUGGAAGGUUAAGAGGAGUGGUUAGCUUCUGCGAAGCUACGAAUCGAAGCCCCAGUAAACGGCGGCCGUAACUAUAACGGUCCUAAGGUAGCGAAAUUCCUUGUCGGGUAAGUUCCGACCCGCACGAAAGGCGUAACGAUUUGGGCACUGUCUCAACGAGAGACUCGGUGAAAUCAUAGUACCUGUGAAGAUGCAGGUUACCCGCGACAGGACGGAAAGACCCCGUGGAGCUUUACUGUAGCCUGAUAUUGAAAUUCGGCACAGCUUGUACAGGAUAGGUAGGAGCCUUUGAAACGUGAGCGCUAGCUUACGUGGAGGCGCUGGUGGGAUACUACCCUAGCUGUGUUGGCUUUCUAACCCGCACCACUUAUCGUGGUGGGAGACAGUGUCAGGCGGGCAGUUUGACUGGGGCGGUCGCCUCCUAAAAGGUAACGGAGGCGCUCAAAGGUUCCCUCAGAAUGGUUGGAAAUCAUUCAUAGAGUGUAAAGGCAUAAGGGAGCUUGACUGCGAGACCUACAAGUCGAGCAGGGUCGAAAGACGGACUUAGUGAUCCGGUGGUUCCGCAUGGAAGGGCCAUCGCUCAACGGAUAAAAGCUACCCCGGGGAUAACAGGCUUAUCUCCCCCAAGAGUUCACAUCGACGGGGAGGUUUGGCACCUCGAUGUCGGCUCAUCGCAUCCUGGGGCUGUAGUCGGUCCCAAGGGUUGGGCUGUUCGCCCAUUAAAGCGGUACGCGAGCUGGGUUCAGAACGUCGUGAGACAGUUCGGUCCCUAUCCGUUGUGGGCGUAGGAAAUUUGAGAGGAGCUGUCCUUAGUACGAGAGGACCGGGAUGGACAUACCUCUGGUGUACCAGUUGUCGUGCCAACGGCAUAGCUGGGUAGCUAUGUGUGGACGGGAUAAGUGCUGAAAGCAUCUAAGCAUGAAGCCCCCCUCAAGAUGAGAUUUCCCAACUUCGGUUAUAAGAUCCCUCAAAGAUGAUGAGGUUAAUAGGUUCGAGGUGGAAGCAUGGUGACAUGUGGAGCUGACGAAUACUAAUCGAUCGAAGACUUAAUCAA
This 2739-nucleotide ribosomal RNA is filed under the name Staphylococcus aureus M0144. RNAcentral describes it as "bacterial LSU rRNA". It matches the Rfam family "Bacterial large subunit ribosomal RNA". Lineage: Bacteria; Bacillati; Bacillota; Bacilli; Caryophanales; Staphylococcaceae. The record is from RNAcentral.